RNAcentral lists this long non-coding RNA (458 nucleotides) under Panax ginseng (ginseng). RNAcentral's name for it is "long non-coding RNA (PGIN_LNC018661)". The record is from RNAcentral. Lineage: Eukaryota; Viridiplantae; Streptophyta; Magnoliopsida; Apiales; Araliaceae.
GCCAUUAAGUUCCUUAUUUAGGAUUUUAUACACCGAAUUAGGUUUUCGGAUUCCCGAAACUGAAUUUAGGGUUUCCAGAACCGGUUUCUAGGAUUUCUUAUUAAUCACUAGGGUUAUCUAACCGAACGUUGACGUUCUUAAUAUAUAAUUAGGGUUUGUUACGGAUAUCGUUUAUCUGGUCAACCCUUGACCCUUAACCACAUCAUGUACACAUAUCAUAGCAUAUCCAUAGAACAUAAUCACGUAUUCACUUAAUCCUAAAUAAUUCACCUAAAUCCUUCACAGAAUUUUGAAAUCCUCAAAAUUCUAUCUUAAAAAUAUCAAACGCAUACACUUAUUUUCUGUCUAGGUUCUAAUUUUGAACCUUAAAUCAAUUAAUAAAAUUUUUAAAAAUAUUCAAAAUUCUCGGGUUGUCACAUUUUCCUUAGAGGCAUUGUCUGCAACCAUUGAAGGGAUAG